Molecule: ribosomal RNA, 496 nt
Filed under: uncultured bacterium
Lineage: Bacteria
Description: partial 16S ribosomal RNA
Rfam family: Bacterial small subunit ribosomal RNA
Source: RNAcentral
AUUGAACGCUGGCGGAAUGCUUUACACAUGCAAGUCGAACGGUAGAGGGGGCAACCCCUCGAGAGUGGCGAACGGGUGAGUAAUAUAUCGGAACGUGCCCAGUCGUGGGGGAUAACGUAGCGAAAGUUACGCUAAUACCGCAUACGAUCUAAGGAUGAAAGCGGGGGAUCGCAAGACCUCGCGCGAUUGGAGCGGCCGAUAUCAGAGUAGGUAGGUGGGGGGGUAAAGGCUCACCAAGCCAAUGAUCUGUAGCUGGUCUGAGAGGACGACCAGCCACACUGGAACUGAGACACGGUCCAGACUCCUACGGGAGGAAGCAGUGGUGAAUUUUGGACAAUGGACGCAAGUCUGAUCCAGCCAUUCCGCGUGCAGGAUGAAGGCCCUCGGGUUGUAAACUGCUUUUGUACGGAACGAAAAGGUCUCUCUUAAUACGGGGGACUCAUGACGGUACCGUAAGAAUAAGCACCGGCUAACUACGUGCCAGCCGCCGCCGUAA